Molecule: long non-coding RNA, 328 nt
Filed under: Pelobates cultripes (western spadefoot toad)
Lineage: Eukaryota; Metazoa; Chordata; Amphibia; Anura; Pelobatidae
Source: RNAcentral
CUGAACAGUAACAUCUCAAACCCUAGAAACUUUUGGAAAGUCAUAAAUAAACUACAAACUCCCCCAAUCCACUCCCAACCCUCCACUGUCAAAGUGGGUAACCAAACCCUGCAACUUCCUUUAGAUGUUGCAAAUGCCUUUAACAAUUAUUUUGUUGGAUGCUCUACUGCCCUGAUUGACAAGCUAAUAAAUGACACGCAUCCUGAAACUACAAAUGUGGAUCAGGCCCCACUAAAUUUGCAAAGGCCCAAUAUAGAUAAGUUUAAUUUUAGACCUGUACCUGUUAGUGUCAUUAAAAAACAUCUUAAUAAUCUAAAAAUGAAAAACC